AUGGCUGCUGACAACAAGAUGCAUUUCCUGAAGCUGGAGGAGGAGGUGGUGAUCCCGACUACGUUCAAAUGUGCCAUUACUUAUGACUUGCUCUUCAAACCGGUGGUCUUGGUUUGUGGACACACCUUCUCGUUCUGGAGUAUUGCUGAGCAUAUGAGCAUCUUAGUUGACACUCUAUGCCCCUUGUGCAAGACGCAGUUUGCACAUUUUCCAAAAAUAUGUGAGACUUAUCAUACUUUGGUUAAGAAAUUGAAACCAGCGGAGUAUGCAAGAGUUGAAGCGGAAUUUUUAGAACAAGAGAGAAGCUUGGGGAGAUCAUCUCCACCAGUUGAUGUUGGUUUGCAGGAUGAGCUUUGUUUUGAGUGUAACAAGCUACUAUACAAGCCAUCAGUCUUAAAUUGUGGACACGUUUGUUGCAAAAGCUGCUUGCCAUCUAGUGAUGGGCUAUUGGCAUGCAAGCGUUGCGGAAGUGUUCAUCCAGGGAAGUUUCCCUCUGUGUGCAUUUCUCUGGAUGAGAUCAUCCAAGAGUUCUUCCCGCGGGAGUACGCUGCAAGGGCUGAGGCUGUUGGACUAAGUUUUGAGCCUUUAUCAUCGGGUAGUUCGCUCAACAAUGAUAGCAGAAGCAUGCCUCACAGGGUUGGCAAUGUGCACCUUGGUGUUGGAUGUGACAAUUGUGGAGCAGAACCGAUUCGAGGUAACAGGUAUAGCUGCAUGGACUGUGCGGUGGGUUACGAUCUUUGUGAAGACUGCCAUUCAAAGGGGUCAACAUGCGGGGGGCGAUUUAACCAGCAACACCUGCCUGGCCAUAGAAUGGAAGCUAACAAUACACUGCUCCUGAAAAAUGUUAUGGACUACAACAGUAUCACAGAUAAUGAGCUAUGGAACGACAAUGAGCAGCCUCAGCCAGGGGGUGAGGAGCAUGAUGAGGAUAAUGGGGUGGAGGAAUAUGCGGAAGAUGAGGAAUAUGAGGAAGAUGAGGAGGAUGUUGAGGAUGUCGAUGAGGAACGUACAACCUGCAGAAUUGUGUAA
Molecule: ribosomal RNA, 1029 nt
Filed under: Triticum aestivum (bread wheat)
Lineage: Eukaryota; Viridiplantae; Streptophyta; Magnoliopsida; Poales; Poaceae
Description: partial small subunit ribosomal RNA
Source: RNAcentral